ACUGGUUUAGCAUAUGUUAAUGUGUAUGGUUGUAAACCAUUUGAAAAUUGUGAAAUUAAUCAGGA
Molecule: transfer RNA, 65 nt
Filed under: Echinococcus oligarthrus
Lineage: Eukaryota; Metazoa; Platyhelminthes; Cestoda; Cyclophyllidea; Taeniidae
Description: tRNA-Tyr
Source: RNAcentral